UCCUACGGGGAGGCAGCAGUAAGGAAUAUUGGUCAAUGGACGCAAGUCUGAACCAGCCAUGCCGCGUGAAGGAUGAAGGUCCUUUGGAUUGUAAACUUCUUUUAUAUGGGACGAAACCCGGGCAUUCCUGCCCGAUUGACGGUACCAUAGGAAUAAGCACCGGCUAACUCCGUGCCAGCAGCCGCGGUAAUACGGAGGGUGCAAGCGUUAUCCGGAUUCACUGGGUUUAAAGGGUGCGUAGGAGGGUAGGUAAGUCAGUGGUGAAAUCUCCGGGCUCAACUCGGAAACUGCCGUUGAUACUAUCUGUCUUGAAUACCGUGGAGGUGAGCGGAAUAUGUCAUGUAGCGGUGAAAUGCUUAGAUAUGACAUAGAACACCGAUUGCGAAGGCAGCUCACUACACGAAUAUUGACUCUGAGGCACGAAAGCGUGGGGAUCAAACAGGAUUAGAUACCCUGGUAGUCCACGCCCUAAACUAUGGAUACUCGACAUACGCGAUACACUGUGUGUGUCUGAGCGAAAGCAUUAAGUAUCCCACCUGGGAAGUACGACCGCAAGGUUGAAACUCAAAGAAAUUUGACGGAA
This 583-nucleotide ribosomal RNA is filed under the name uncultured bacterium. RNAcentral's name for it is "bacterial SSU rRNA". It matches the Rfam family "Bacterial small subunit ribosomal RNA", at positions 337 to 918 of the family's 1533-position model. The record is from RNAcentral.